Molecule: ribosomal RNA, 549 nt
Filed under: uncultured bacterium
Lineage: Bacteria
Description: bacterial SSU rRNA
Rfam family: Bacterial small subunit ribosomal RNA
Source: RNAcentral
GGCGGCGUGGAUAAGACAUGCAAGUCGAACGCGACUUAUUUUGUUAGCAAUAACAGGGUAGGUUGAGUGGCGAAAGGGUGCGUAACACGUGGGAAUUUACCAAGAAGUGGGGAAUAGCUCGACGAAAGUCGAAUUAAUACCGCAUGUGAUCGCAAGAUCAAAGUCGGGGACCGCAAGGCCUGACGCUUUUUGAGAAGCCCGCGGCCCAUCAGCUAGUUGGCGGGGUAACGGCCCACCAAGGCAAUGACGGGUAGCUGGUCUGAGAGGACGACCAGCCACACUGGAACUGAGACACGGUCCAGACACCUACGGGUGGCAGCAGUCGAGAAUUUUUCACAAUGGACGAAAGUCUGAUGGAGCGACGCCGCGUGGAGGAUGAAGGUUUUCGGAUUGUAAACUCCUGUCACUGCAGAACAAGGAUGCGUUUGUGAACAGCAAAUGUAUUUGAUGGUAUGCGGAGAGGAAGGGACGGCUAACUCUGUGCCAGCAGCCGCGGUAAGACAGAAGUCCCGAGCGUUGUUCGGAUUCAUUGGGCGUAAAGGGUGUGUA